This 405-nucleotide ribosomal RNA is filed under the name uncultured prokaryote. Its description in RNAcentral is "bacterial SSU rRNA". It matches the Rfam family "Bacterial small subunit ribosomal RNA", at positions 355 to 774 of the family's 1533-position model. The record is from RNAcentral.
UGGGGAAUAUUGGGCAAUGGGCGAAAGCCUGACCCAGCAACGCCGCGUGAAGGAAGAAGGUUUUCGGAUUGUAAACUUCUGUCCUCAGGGAAGAAAAAAAUGACGGUACCUGGGGAGGAAGCCCCGGCUAACUACGUGCCAGCAGCCGCGGUAAUACGUAGGGGGCGAGCGUUGUCCGGAAUGACUGGGCGUAAAGGGCGCGUAGACGGCUUAUUAAGUCUGGAGUGAAAGUCCUGCUUUCAAGGUGGGAAUUGCUUUGGAGACUGGAAAGCUUGAGUGCGGAAGAGGUAAGUGGAAUUCCCAGUGUAGCGGUGAAAUGCGUAGAGAUUGGGAAGAACACCAGUGGCGAAGGCGACUUACUGGGCCGUAACUGACGUUGAUGCGCGAAAGCGUGGGGAGCGAACA